Molecule: ribosomal RNA, 247 nt
Filed under: uncultured bacterium
Lineage: Bacteria
Description: partial 16S ribosomal RNA
Rfam family: Bacterial small subunit ribosomal RNA
Source: RNAcentral
CACGCCGUAAACGAUGGGUACUAGGUGUAGGAGGUAUCGACCCCUUCUGUGCCGUCGUUAACACAAUAAGUACCCCGCCUGGGGAGUACGGUCGCAAGACUAAAACUCAAAGGAAUUGACGGGGGCCCGCACAAGCAGCGGAGCAUGUGGUUUAAUUCGAAGCAACGCGAAGAACCUUACCAAGGCUUGACAUUGAGUGAAAGGCUAAGAGAUUAGCCCCUCUCUUCGGAGACACGAAAACAGGUGG